Molecule: non-coding RNA, 73 nt
Organism: Aedes albopictus (Asian tiger mosquito)
Lineage: Eukaryota; Metazoa; Arthropoda; Insecta; Diptera; Culicidae
Source: Rfam
ACCUGAAGACCUCAGUCGGUAGAGCAUGAGACUCUUAAUCUCAGGGUCGUGGGAUCGUGCCCCACGUUGGGCG